GUAGUGUUCAGAGUAAAUUUUAGAGUAUAAAUAAUCUCAUCCUUAAUUAUAUGAUAUCUCCAAUAAAUAUUUUAGCAAUUUCAUCAAGCUACUUUAAGCAUCAUUAAAGCACAAUAAUCAUCUCGAUUUAUUCAAAUGAUUCAAAGAAGUUAUUCAAAUUGAAUCCAACAAGGGCAUGAAGAAGUAAGCUACACAACUAAUUUACUGAGACACAUGUAUGUAUGUAUUUGUGUUGUAGGUAGAUAGGUAAGUAGGUAUAAAUUUGUUAAAAUAAUAUAUUGAUAUUUUGAAUAAUAUCUUU
RNAcentral lists this long non-coding RNA (301 nucleotides) under Citrus x clementina. RNAcentral describes it as "Citrus clementina (C. clementina) long non-coding RNA (CCLE_LNC003689)". Lineage: Eukaryota; Viridiplantae; Streptophyta; Magnoliopsida; Sapindales; Rutaceae. The record is from RNAcentral.